RNAcentral lists this ribosomal RNA (253 nucleotides) under uncultured bacterium. Its description in RNAcentral is "partial 16S ribosomal RNA". It matches the Rfam family "Bacterial small subunit ribosomal RNA", at positions 524 to 776 of the family's 1533-position model. The record is from RNAcentral.
UACAGAGGGGGCGAGCGUUGUUCGGAAUUACUGGGCGUAAAGGGCGCGUAGGCGGCCAACUAAGUCAGACGUGAAAUCCCUCGGCUCAACCGGGGAACUGCGUCUGAUACUGGAUGGCUUGAAUUCGGGAGAGGGAUGCGGAAUUCCAGGUGUAGCGGUGAAAUGCGUAGAUAUCUGGAGGAACACCGGUGGCGAAGGCGGCAUCCUGGACCGAGAUUGACGCUGAGGAGCGAAAGCCAGGGGAGCGAACGGG